CUCAUAGCGUAUAUUUAAGUUGUUGCAGUUAAAAAGCUCGUAGUCGGAUUUUGGCUGAGAACGGUCGGUCCGCCGUUAGGUGUGCACUGACUGGUCUCAGCUUCCUGGUGAGGAGGUGUGCUUCAUCGCCACUUAGUCACCGUGGUUACUUUGAAAAAAUUAGAGUGUUCAAAGCGGGCUUACGCUUGAAUAUAUUAGCAUGGAAUAACACCAUAGGACUCCUGUCCUAUUUCGUUGGUCUCGGGACGGGAGUAAUGAUUAAGAGGAACAGUUGGGGGCAUUCGUAUUUCAUUGUCAGAGGUGAAAUUCUUGGAUUUAUGAAAGACGAACUUCUGCGAAAGCAUUUGCCAAGGAUGUUUUCAUUGAUCAAGAACGAAAGUUGGGGGCUCGAAGAUGAUUAGAUACCAUCCUAGUCUCAACCAUAAACGAUGCCGACUAGGGAUUGGCGGAUGUUAAUUGAUGACUUCGCCAGCACCUUAUGAGAAAUCAAAGUUUUUGGGUUCCGGGGGGAGUAUGGUCGCAAGGCUGAAACUUAAAGGAAUUGACGGAAGGGCACCACCAGGCGUGGAGCCUGCGGCCUAAUUUGACUCAACACGGGGAAACUUACCAGGUCCAGACAUAGUAAGGAUUGACAGAUUGAGAGCUCUUUCUUGAUUCUAUGGGUGGUGGUGCAUGGCCGUUCU
Molecule: ribosomal RNA, 683 nt
Filed under: uncultured eukaryote
Lineage: Eukaryota
Description: SSU rRNA
Rfam family: Eukaryotic small subunit ribosomal RNA
Source: RNAcentral